CCAUGCUGGCUAUGUUGAGCACAAAAUCUGCAAGGUGAGCAGCUAUGUAACGAUGAUGGCGUUGGAACUGCAGUUGUGGACUCCACUGAUCUGGACAGCUUGAGGAUAGAAAUGACUCAACAGUCAGAGGUGUAAGAUCCUCAUACUAGUUGAAUCCCAGGUUUGGAUCUGUGCUUGACUGCCACGUCUAGAGCUGGGACUUACAGCUCCUCAGGUUGUAUGGCUCUCACAUUCAGACUUAACUGCUGGAUCCUGAUCUGGGGUUUGCAGCUCCCACAAUCCAUGCUUGGCUAUUAGAUCCAAGUUCUGCAUAUCCAGAUCCUUUGGAAACUGGAGCCAAAGGCCAAUGAGUCAGUUUAAGCACAUAUAUACAUCCCUCCUACAUCAACCUGGACAGACCCAGAGACCUUGACAGUGAACAGCUUGAGAAGCCUCCCCCAUUGACAGGGAUGUGUAAGGUAGCCAAACCCGUUCCUGCAGAACAACUUUUGAAGGAGAUGUUGGGCUUAUUCAGUGCCAGCUUAGGCAACUGGGCCCAAGGACCCUUCCCUGUCAGUUAGGCUUUAUGAGGAGGUGGUCCUACUUCUACAGAGCCAUACAAAGCCCAGGCUAUCUCCUCUUUUCCUUUGAAAGGAAAAACCCAACUGCUACCUUCAGUUAUGACAAGGAACUGAAGGCUGGUGGGGUCACUCUCCCCUCCUUUUUAUAUUUGCAACAUCCUCUAAGAUGGAAUGGGAAUGGAUGAGCGAGUGACACUGCUUUCCAGAAGGUUCCGGAAGCUUGCAGCACAGACACCUUGGAUCCCACAAGUGGGAAUAUGAAGAGGUUCCUCGAAGAAUCCAAAGUUCCUGCAGCUGCCAGGCCACAUACCAUGGUUUACGCUACUAGUUGCUGCACUUCAGAGCUUCUGACAAACUGCUGCACUGUAUUUCAUAAGCAGAAUAUCGUGGUUUGAGUGAAACAAGAUAAAGCCAUUAGACACAUCAGAAUCGUAAACAACAUCUCUUGAAAGUUCCUGCUGCCACUAGAAAGAUCUUUUAGUUCAGCUACAAAGCCUUGGGGAGAUGAUGAAAUAAGAAGCAAGAGUUCCUUUA
Long non-coding RNA from Mauremys reevesii (Reeves's turtle), 1094 nucleotides. RefSeq lists it as uncharacterized. The record is from RefSeq and is a predicted model, not a curated record. NCBI's taxonomy places the organism in Eukaryota, Metazoa, Chordata, Testudines, Geoemydidae. The transcript is spliced from 3 exons.